This 408-nucleotide ribosomal RNA is filed under the name uncultured bacterium. RNAcentral describes it as "partial 16S ribosomal RNA". It matches the Rfam family "Bacterial small subunit ribosomal RNA", at positions 28 to 526 of the family's 1533-position model. The record is from RNAcentral.
GACGAACGCUGGCGGCGUGCUUAACACAUGCAAGUCGAACGAAGUGGCGAACGGGUGAGUACUACGUGCGUAACCUGCCCUCCUUUUUGGGAUAAGCCUUGGAAACGGGGUCUAAUACCGAAUAAAGGGGUAUGGGCUCGCGGCCUAUCAGCUGGUGGGUGGGGUGAUGGCCUACCAAGGCGGUGACGGGUAGCCUGCCUGCGAGGGUGACCGGCCACAUUGGGACUGAGAUACGGCCCAGACUCCUACGGGGGGCAGCAGUGGGGGGUAUUGCCCACUGGGCGAAAGCCUGAUGCAGCGACGCCGCGUGGGGGAUGAAGGCUUUCGGUUUGUAAACCGCUUUCAGCCAUGACGCGGUAGUGGCAGAAGAAGCACCGGCUAACUACGUGCCAGCAGCCGCGGUAAUUC